Long non-coding RNA from Harmonia axyridis, 573 nucleotides. RefSeq lists it as uncharacterized. The record is from RefSeq and is a predicted model, not a curated record. The transcript has 2 exons. NCBI's taxonomy places the organism in Eukaryota, Metazoa, Arthropoda, Insecta, Coleoptera, Coccinellidae.
UUGCCAGUGCACAAAUUUUCUCACUUACUUUUUUUUUGGGGAAAAACUAUUGAUAGUAUUGAGCAGACUGCAUUAUAAAUCACAUUAACGAAACUAAUACAAAAAACUAUUUUCCAACUAGUGUGAAUUAUAAUAUGUAUGUCUAUGGUCAGAACCCGUCCUUUGGUGGUGAAAAAAAAAAUAAUAUAAACAUAAUUCCAGGAGUGAGUGGCAAUGGUAUUGUUGAAGCCUUACAUGUAAGAAAUGCAAGUCUGGAUAUUUUGAAUGUAACUCAGCCAACUUGGAAAAGGUUGAGGUAUAUGACAAUAACAGAUGGCCACAUUAAUAGAAUUUCUGGUGAAUUUUCCAAGCUUACCCUCAUAUCUUGCCUCAAUCUGUCAUCCAAUAGUAUAAGUAGAUUUGAUGAGAGGUCACUUGUUAAUCUGUAUAAUCUGUCUCAUUUGGAUCUUUCUCAUAACAAUUUAUCAGAAGUACCUAGGUUUAAAAAGGAAGGAAAUGUUACUCUGGAUAUCUCUUAUUCGAAUAUUUGUUUGAUAAUUGCAAUAAUACCAUUCAACAACAAAUUUUAUCCUG